RNAcentral lists this unclassified non-coding RNA (382 nucleotides) under fungal sp. Its description in RNAcentral is "partial internal transcribed spacer region". The stretch from base 1 to 46 matches the Rfam family "Eukaryotic small subunit ribosomal RNA", at positions 1786 to 1831 of the family's 1831-position model. Lineage: Eukaryota; Fungi. The record is from RNAcentral.
AAGUCGUAACAAGGUUUCCGUAGGUGAACCUGCGGAAGGAUCAUUACCACGUUCCAAACGUAUCAACCAAUGCGAAUUGUUUUCAAUCACUCCCAACAUGGAGAAUGAGCUGGAACUAGUAGACGAGCGUGCGGAGGCUUCACGGCCAGCGUUUGCUAGAACACUUCUGCGCAAGCAGAGACAGCUGUAUUUUCAUGGGUGGCUAUUUCUCUGCAACUUUGAUCACCGUCACCGAUCGCGAGUUGCAGGGAGCACACAUUAACCAUAUUCACCCCUUUUGCUAGUUGACUUUUAUAUGUUGUUUCUUGCCUCGGCAUGGAGCACACGUUUAAUUAUUUGAACGUUAAAAAUACAACUCUUAGCAAUGGAUAUCUAGGUUCUC